AAUCACAGAAGUGGCAUCUCAUCAUCUUUGUCAUAUUCUAUUGGUCAGUAGCAAGUCAUAGGUUCUACCAAGGAGUUUUCACUAAUAGUGAGAUACACAGAGUAGUGAUCCAAUUAAAAGAAAUGGCCAUGAAACAAAUAUUCAAAAGAAUAAGUACAUCAUACAAACUCUUGCUACAGAAGGAAAGAAUAAAGUGUUAUCAGGACAUGUAAUAGAGGGAGACGGUAGCAUUGAAGAUAUCCCCGACAAGGAUGAGAUUUGAGCUAAAAUAUGAAAGAAGAGAGAGAGUUUAAUUAAACAGCAUAGAGAAGGGAAAAGUGAAAAAUUCUAAGAAUGAACUGUAUGUUCCAAAGCUCUAUGGUAGGAUAAAAUCAUGGCACAUUAAAGAAAUGGAAGGAAAGCCCACGUGUCUGAAGGAGAGAAACUGAGGAAGAGGAAGGGCGAGGCAUUGGAUAAGAAGAGCAGACCCCAGAGUAGAAGUGUCAUGCGGCCUUCCUGUAGACCUGCAUGCCAACGGUGACAGAGAAGGAAAUAGUGACUGGCUUGCCCAAGAGGUGAUUUACUUUGAAGAGCAUCUGGUUAGGAGGAGCUCAUCUCAGCGAGGGAUGAAAGUUAUUUCUAACCGACUGAAAGCAAAUCAUUCAGGAUUUUCCAGUACAAAACAAUAUGAAUUUAUUAGCAGAUCGAUGGUAAGUUUGAAAACACAUGAGGACCCUGAUACAAAGUCCUGAUAAGACCAAAGAAGCCAAAGCCAAAGAAAUCAUUGCCAUCCCUGCAUAUUUGAGUCAUGCUCAUGCCAUGUCAUGAAAACACGUUGUGAGAGAAAUUACA
This is a long non-coding RNA of Pongo pygmaeus (Bornean orangutan), 831 nucleotides long. RefSeq lists it as uncharacterized. NCBI's taxonomy places the organism in Eukaryota, Metazoa, Chordata, Mammalia, Primates, Hominidae. The record is from RefSeq and is a predicted model, not a curated record. The transcript is spliced from 2 exons.